GGUGGAUGGUGUGCACGGUGCACGUCUGUGUUAUGUGCUGUUGCCUGACUGUGUUUUGCAGGCUGGGCAGCAGUGCUCACUCCACACCUGCAGCCAUAGAGCAACUGGAGAUCAUAGUACUGGUCCUUGACAUCUCACCAUUGGCCAGCCUCCAAACUCUCCUACAUGA
Molecule: small nucleolar RNA, 169 nt
Organism: Etheostoma spectabile (orangethroat darter)
Lineage: Eukaryota; Metazoa; Chordata; Actinopteri; Perciformes; Percidae
Product: small nucleolar RNA SNORA23
Exons: 1
Source: RefSeq, a predicted model, not a curated record